GGGGACCUUCGGGGCCCUAAAAGACCGAGCAAAACAAAGCUCGAAACAUACUGGUCGGGGCAACCCGAUCUUGCUUAACGGAAGACAGAAA
Molecule: non-coding RNA, 91 nt
Filed under: unclassified sequences
Description: L2-Alphaproteobacteria ribosomal protein leader
Rfam family: L2-Alphaproteobacteria ribosomal protein leader
Source: RNAcentral